Long non-coding RNA from Argiope bruennichi, 553 nucleotides. RefSeq lists it as uncharacterized. The transcript has 3 exons. The record is from RefSeq and is a predicted model, not a curated record. Lineage: Eukaryota; Metazoa; Arthropoda; Arachnida; Araneae; Araneidae.
AUCGGCAUUUGUAUAAAUCUGCGAAAAGACUGAUAAUUUGAAAACAUUCCAGUCCUAUAACUUAAUGGUCCAAUCUUAAAAUUCUUCGACACGUGGUACAGGACUAGCAAAGUGUGAGAGUGAAAGAAAUCUUUUUGCAUCGUACUGAUGGUCGAAUGGAGGGUAAUAUCUAAUUUUCAGCUAGAAACUCAAGCCUUCAGAAAGAAAAGAAACAUCUUGAGACAGUUAUCCAUACUUUACUACCAAAUCAUUCUAAUCCAGCAUCCUGGAGAGGGGGUCUGUGGUGGUUGUCAUCUGACGAUUCUCUGGAAACACCAAAUGGCAGAGGUUUUGCUUUUAGCAGAAAUAUAUUAAUCUGUCAUUCGUAAAAAAAAUUUAGGCAAACUAUACCCUUAUUAAAUUUUUGCUGCAGCUUCAAAGAGUGGUGGACCGAUACCGUGGAUAUAAUAUGUAAUUAGAAGAAGAAGAAGAAAACAAAAAAUCUUAAUCUGAAAGAAAUAUAUUAUUACUUCACCAGAGGAAUUUUGUUAUGGUAACCAUUCUGGUUGUCUGU